This 444-nucleotide ribosomal RNA is filed under the name Triticum aestivum (bread wheat). Its description in RNAcentral is "partial small subunit ribosomal RNA". The record is from RNAcentral. Lineage: Eukaryota; Viridiplantae; Streptophyta; Magnoliopsida; Poales; Poaceae.
AUGAUUGGUCUAUUUUGGAACAUUAGAGGCCUGAAUGGGUCCAUCGAAAGUAAUAGACUGAAAGAGCUCAUUAUAGCUCAUAAGCCUGAUUUUAUUAGUAUUUCUGAGUCUAAGAAAGAAGACUUUACCCCUCUUCAAUUAGAAGCUUUUGACAUUAGAUCUUGUUAUACUUGGAAAUGGCUUCCUGCUAAUAACACUGCUGGAGGCAUCCUAGUAGGAAUUAGGGGGGGUCUCUUUGACAUUGUUUGCUGUGAUAUACACACUUACAGUGUUUCUUGCUUACUCCAAAACAAGCAAGAUGGAUCUUCCUGGAAACUGAUCUCCAUUUAUGGUACUGCUUAUGAACAGUACAAACUAGACUUCAUCAAUGAAUUGCACAACUUGCUUACUGGGUGGACUGGUCCAACUCUGGUAGGUGGAGAUUUUAAUCUGAUUAGGGAAGCC